Molecule: ribosomal RNA, 1447 nt
Filed under: uncultured organism
Description: SSU rRNA
Rfam family: Bacterial small subunit ribosomal RNA
Source: RNAcentral
GGCUCAGGAUGAACGCUAGCUACAGGCUUAACACAUGCAAGUCGAGGGGCAGCAUGGUCUUAGCUUGCUAAGGCCGAUGGCGACCGGCGCACGGGUGAGUAACACGUAUCCAACCUGCCGUCUACUCUUGGACAGCCUUCUGAAAGGAAGAUUAAUACAAGAUGGCAUCAUGAGUCCGCAUGUUCACAUGAUUAAAGGUAUUCCGGUAGACGAUGGGGAUGCGUUCCAUUAGAUAGUAGGCGGGGUAACGGCCCACCUAGUCUUCGAUGGAUAGGGGUUCUGAGAGGAAGGUCCCCCACAUUGGAACUGAGACACGGUCCAAACUCCUACGGGAGGCAGCAGUGAGGAAUAUUGGUCAAUGGGCGAGAGCCUGAACCAGCCAAGUAGCGUGAAGGAUGACUGCCCUAUGGGUUGUAAACUUCUUUUAUAAAGGAAUAAAGUCGGGUAUGGAUACCCGUUUGCAUGUACUUUAUGAAUAAGGAUCGGCUAACUCCGUGCCAGCAGCCGCGGUAAUACGGAGGAUCCGAGCGUUAUCCGGAUUUAUUGGGUUUAAAGGGAGCGUAGAUGGAUGUUUAAGUCAGUUGUGAAAGUUUGCGGCUCAACCGUAAAAUUGCAGUUGAUACUGGAUAUCUUUGAGUGCAGUUGAGGCAGGCGGAAUUCGUGGUGUAGCGGUGAAAUGCUUAGAUAUCACGAAGAACUCCGAUUGCGAAGGCAGCCUGCUAAGCUGCAACUGACAUUGAGGCUCGAAAGUGUGGGUAUCAAACAGGAUUAGAUACCCUGGUAGUCCACACGGUAAACGAUGAAUACUCGCUGUUUGCGAUAUACAGCAAGCGGCCAAGCGAAAGCGUUAAGUAUUCCACCUGGGGAGUACGCCGGCAACGGUGAAACUCAAAGGAAUUGACGGGGGCCCGCACAAGCGGAGGAACAUGUGGUUUAAUUCGAUGAUACGCGAGGAACCUUACCCGGGCUUAAAUUGCAGAUGAAUUACGGUGAAAGCCGUAAGCCGCAAGGCAUCUGUGAAGGUGCUGCAUGGUUGUCGUCAGCUCGUGCCGUGAGGUGUCGGCUUAAGUGCCAUAACGAGCGCAACCCUUGUUGUCAGUUACUAACAGGUUCCGCUGAGGACUCUGACAAGACUGCCAUCGUAAGAUGUGAGGAAGGUGGGGAUGACGUCAAAUCAGCACGGCCCUUACGUCCGGGGCUACACACGUGUUACAAUGGGGGGUACAGAGGGCCGCUACCACGCGAGUGGAUGCCAAUCCCCAAAACCUCUCUCAGUUCGGACUGGAGUCUGCAACCCGACUCCACGAAGCUGGAUUCGCUAGUAAUCGCGCAUCAGCCACGGCGCGGUGAAUACGUUCCCGGGCCUUGUACACACCGCCCGUCAAGCCAUGGGAGCCGGGGGUACCUGAAGUGCGUAACCGCGAGGAGCGCCCUAGGGUAAAACUGG